This is a long non-coding RNA of Sorghum bicolor (sorghum), 823 nucleotides long. RefSeq lists it as uncharacterized. The record is from RefSeq and is a predicted model, not a curated record. NCBI's taxonomy places the organism in Eukaryota, Viridiplantae, Streptophyta, Magnoliopsida, Poales, Poaceae. The transcript has 3 exons.
UCUCGAUCGGGCCCUCUCUGCCUGCUGGCCUAUACACUGGAAAGGAAAGAGAAGGGGACCCUCGAGAAGGAGGAGAAGGAGAAGAAGAAUCUUCUCCGGCCAGGCCACCAACUUCUCUGCUAGUAUGCAGCUGAGGUCUUGUACUUUGUAUGUUGCCAGCUGCCUUCUCUUGAUCACACGUGUGGCGUGGAGAUAUUGCCCUAGGUGCUGUGGGCAGGUCCAUGGUAAAAAACAACGGACGUCCAUGCUAAACAGAUCCCCUUCUCUGAAACCUGCCGCUGCUGCAGUUCUUACACCGAGCUGAGACCUAGUGCUCCUGCAGUUUACUUGGGUUCAGAUGACAUGUGUUUCGUUGUCACCGCAGUGUAAACUACUGCAGACCAUUGGUGCUCCAAAUGUCAAGCGUCUGCAGGUGGAUUCAACGCCCGUUUACUCUUGUUACGCCAUGGGGUCUGUCUGGUGGUUCGAUUGACACACGCUGGCUGCCACCGGUGACAGGACAAAAUCCUCCCUGCCCUACCCUACCACGCUCAGCACGGCCCCUUUCAUCACAAUCAUUAUCUAUUAUUACAUUCUACACGAAAUAUGCUCGAUUCGCACUAUGAUAACCCUGCGUCGUUGUCGCCCCGUCGUUUUGUUGGAUCCAAUCCCCUGAAUGCCUCUUCUCCUGCCAUAUGGCUUGUUCCUGGUGAGGCUGAGCUACACGACGUUCAGAAGGGGACACAAGGGACCUGCAUUUAUACAUCGGGAGACGUCUCAGGUUUGCACUGCACCCAAAACGACCAAGGGGAAGGAAGGAAGGAAGGAAACGUGUCUAGCGCAA